GCUGGGCGAGGUGGGGCACACCUGUAGUCCCAGCCACUUGGAGGCUGAAGGGGGAGGAUCACUUGAACCCAGGAGCUGGAGACCAGCUUGGGCAACAUAGUGAGACCCCAUCCU
This 114-nucleotide small RNA is filed under the name Marmota monax (woodchuck). Lineage: Eukaryota; Metazoa; Chordata; Mammalia; Rodentia; Sciuridae. The record is from RNAcentral.